AUUGAACGCUGGCGGCAGGCCUAACACAUGCAAGUCGAGCGGGGUUUUCGGACCUAGCGGCGGACGGGUGAGUAAUGCGUAGGAAGCUGCCCGAUAGAGGGGGAUACCAGUUGGAAACGACUGUUAAUACCGCAUAAUGUCUACGGACCAAAGUGUGGGACCUUCGGGCCACAUGCUAUCGGAUGCGCCUACGUGGGAUUAGCUAGUUGGUGAGGUAAUGGCUCACCAAGGCGACGAUCUCUAGCUGGUUGGAGAGGAUGAUCAGCCACACUGGAACUGAGACACGGUCCAGACGCCUACGGGAGGCAGCAGUGGGGAAUAUUGGACAAUGGGCGCAAGCCUGAUCCAGCCAUGCCGCGUGUGUGAGGAAGGCCUUCGGGUUGUAAAGCACUUUCAGCGAGGAGGAAGGGAGGUGUGUUAAUAGCACAUCAUUUUGACGUUACUCGCAGAAGAAGCACCGGCUAACUCUGUGCCAGCCGCCGCCGUAA
Molecule: ribosomal RNA, 488 nt
Filed under: uncultured bacterium
Lineage: Bacteria
Description: partial 16S ribosomal RNA
Rfam family: Bacterial small subunit ribosomal RNA
Source: RNAcentral